This 212-nucleotide long non-coding RNA is filed under the name Ananas comosus (pineapple). RNAcentral's name for it is "long non-coding RNA (ACOM_LNC042155)". The record is from RNAcentral. Lineage: Eukaryota; Viridiplantae; Streptophyta; Magnoliopsida; Poales; Bromeliaceae.
CCUCGCAUUGGCGACACUCUUAAAAAUACACGGUCUCCAACCGCGAAUUCUAAAUCUUUUCUUCGCUUGUCGGCAUAACUCUUUUGCCGAGAUUGCGCCAUCGCUAACCGUUGACGGGCAAGGCGAACCUUCUCUUCCGCCUCCCGCACUACAUCCGGGCCAAGAGCUGUUCUCUCGCCCACGUCGCUCCAAUGGAUAGGAGAACGACACUU